This 58-nucleotide non-coding RNA is filed under the name marine eukaryotic metagenome. The record is from RNAcentral.
UCGGUCCUCGGUAGUGGCUCUCGCGGAGGAAAUGCCCGGGGACCUCGAUCGAAGACCG